Molecule: small nucleolar RNA, 135 nt
Organism: Erinaceus europaeus (western European hedgehog)
Lineage: Eukaryota; Metazoa; Chordata; Mammalia; Eulipotyphla; Erinaceidae
Source: Ensembl
AAUUGUUGUCCUGGGUAGAGUGGCAUCUAGCUUGUGGUGUCCAUCUCAUAUUAGCCAGGGAAAAAACAAUUCCUUGUUCAUCCCAGCUUGGCCUUUGGUCUGUGCCCAUGCUUAGUUCCUGCCUUGGAUAUAUUG